AGGAGGAGCGUUUGCGGACUCAGCGUCUGUCAACAGAACCCUCUUCACCCGUGGUUAAACCCUCCCUAACCCUGAGCUCGUGCUCCCCUCCCGGUGGACGCAGACCUGACCAUAGAAGCCCUGCAGCACUCACUGGGGGCUUGAGGGAGCCCCUGAAUCCCCUCCACCCUCGCCGCCUUCUCCUGGGUACCCAGGAAACAUCUCCAAGGGAGGCUGUGACCCAGGACCCCGCCUCGACCUCACCUUCUUCUGUAAGGCGCAGUGAAAGACGAAGAUGAAGACCCCCUGGAAGGCGUUGAAGGUGGUGAAGAGAUAGGCCAUGACCACCGACUCCUUGUUGAUGAAGAGGAGGCCGAAAGCCCAGGUGAGGCCCAGCAGGAACAGCAGCGCGAUGGCCCCCAGCGCCCAGGAUCUGGGAGUGGGGCGACAGGGGAGUCAAAGUACCCGCCGGAGGGGACGGCCUCAGCCCAGGCCUCCCCUGCAGCCUACAAGGGGGGCCCUUGGGUGGGCCUGGGCACUGUCUGCAAAGCCCUGAGCGGGCCGAGUGGGCCUUGGGGGCAGUGGCCUGCCCAGGACACCUCCACCCGAGCCUGGGCCUGAGGGAAAGGUACUGGGUCAGGGGUCAGGGUAUUGUGAACAUCAGUUAUUCCUCUGCCAACUUCAUUGUUUCUGCUAAAUUUCCAGAC
RNAcentral lists this non-coding RNA (686 nucleotides) under Pan troglodytes (chimpanzee). Lineage: Eukaryota; Metazoa; Chordata; Mammalia; Primates; Hominidae. The record is from RNAcentral.